AUUGAACGCUGGCGGCAUGCUUUACACAUGCAAGUCGAACGGUAACAGGCCUUCGGGUGCUGACGAGUGGCGAACGGGUGAGUAAUGCAUCGGAACGUGCCCAGAGGUGGGGGAUAACGCAGCGAAAGCUGUGCUAAUACCGCAUGUGAUCUGAGGAUGAAAGCGGGGGCCCAGGCAGCACUGUUUGGCCUCGCGCCUUUGGAGCGGCCGAUGUCAGAUUAGGUAGUUGGUGGGGUAAAGGCCUACCAAGCCGACGAUCUGUAGCUGGUCUGAGAGGACGACCAGCCACACUGGGACUGAGACACGGCCCAGACUCCUACGGGAGGCAGCAGUGGGGAAUUUUGGACAAUGGGCGCAAGCCUGAUCCAGCAAUGCCGCGUGCGGGAAGAAGGCCUUCGGGUUGUAAACCGCUUUUGUACGGAACGAAAAGGCUCUGGCUAAUACCUGGGGCUGAUGACGGUACCGUAAGAAUAAGCACCGGCUAACUACGUG
RNAcentral lists this ribosomal RNA (492 nucleotides) under uncultured bacterium. RNAcentral describes it as "partial 16S ribosomal RNA". It matches the Rfam family "Bacterial small subunit ribosomal RNA", at positions 30 to 507 of the family's 1533-position model. The record is from RNAcentral.